Solanum lycopersicum (tomato) is the source of this 1209-nucleotide RNA transcript. It is a transcript of the gene named protein SYM1, with no coding region annotated. NCBI's taxonomy places the organism in Eukaryota, Viridiplantae, Streptophyta, Magnoliopsida, Solanales, Solanaceae. The record is from RefSeq and is a predicted model, not a curated record.
AGUAAAUUCAUUUCCCAUUCAAACUUGUUUUUUUUCUUCUUCUGCAAUAACAAACCAAUCAUGUCAGCAGUCAACAAUUUUGCUACUCAUAUCCUCUCUUCUUCCUCAAAAAGAUCCUUUCAAGAAUCCAGAAAGACUCAAACUUUAUCCAUCAACUUUUCUCCAACUUUCACCAUACAUAAUAUACCAAAAACCCCAUCAAGAACAAGUCUUGUUUGUUCAAUAAAUGCUGUGACAGAAGAUAAAGAAGCAGAGGCCAACCAAGAAAAUGAAAAGAAAGAAUCAAAUGGAACUGAAAUUGAAGAAAAAAUCAAGAAUAGCUUCUUGUACAUUUUGUUGGAUAAAGAUAGGUUUUUUAAUGCUUCAAUUGUGCUUGGUGCUGGUACACUUGCUGUCACAAGGUUACUCACCAUAGAUCAUGAGUAUUGGCAUGGAUGGACCCUUUACGAGAUACUGAGGUAUGCCCCGGAGCACAACUGGAUUGCAUAUGAAGAAGCGCUGAAAGCAAAUCCUGUGUUGGCUAAAAUGGCGAUUAGUGGUAUUGUCUACUCUGUAGGAGACUGGACCGCUCAAUGCUAUGAAGGAAAGCCUCUUCUUGAAUUUGACCGGACUCGCAUGUUUAGAUCUGGUCUUGUUGGAUUUUCACUUCAUGGUUCCCUUUCCCACUACUAUUACCAAUUUUGUGAGGCUCUUUUCCCGUCCAACGAUUGGUGGGUGGUUCCAGCUAAAGUUGCUUUUGACCAAACCAUUUGGUCAGCAAUUUGGAAUAGCAUCUAUUUUGUUGUCCUUGGUUUCUUGCGUCUCGAAUCUGCAUCCAAUAUUUUUGGCGAACUUAGAGCCACGUUUUUGCCCAUGUUAACAUUACUCAAAUGAGAAAUCAGAGGCGCGGAUAUCUGAAGAAUCAUCAGAAGCUAAAUCUGAUUCAUCAUCGAGUAAAUUGCCCGAGGAUUAAUCAAGCUACACAACUUAACAGAUUCGUAAGUUUUAUUAUCAAGUUAUAGUAAAUAAUUAGCCAGCCUUUGAGAAACCUAUUUAUUUAGGAAAUUAAAAGUGUGUGUAUAUAUAUAUAUAGCCUGUAUGUACUCUCCUUGGCCUUAUCCCUUGGUGAAUGAAGGAAGAUAUAAAAAGAGGAGUUUAGUGUAACAUAACUCAGUCAAAAGCAUAUUCAUCAUCUAUACAAAUUUAUCUUGAUGCUGUUUCAGCUUGUUA